CCUACGGGAGGCAGCAGUGGGGAAUAUUGGACAAUGGGCGCAAGCCUGAUCCAGCCAUACCGCGUGGGUGAAGAAGGCCUUCGGGUUGUAAAGCCCUUUUGUUGGGAAAGAAAUCCAGCUGGCUAAUACCCGGUUGGGAUGACGGUACCCAAAGAAUAAGCACCGGCUAACUACGUGCCAGCAGCCGCGGUAAUACGUAGGGUGCGAGCGUUAAUCGGAAUUACUGGGCGUAAAGCGUGCGCAGGCGGUUAUGUAAGACAGAUGUGAAAUCCCCGGGCUCAACCUGGGAACUGCAUUUGUGACUGCAUGGCUAGAGUACGGUAGAGGGGGAUGGAAUUCCGCGUGUAGCAGUGAAAUGCGUAGAGAUCAGGAGGAACAUCCAUGGCGAAGGCAGCUACCUGGACCAACAUUGACGCUCAUGCACGAAAGCGUGGGGAGCAAACAGGAUUAGAUACCCUGGUAGUCCACGCCCUAAACGAUGUCAACUGGUUGUUGGGAAUUAGUUUUCUCAGUAACGAAGCUAACGCGUUAAGUUCGCCGCCUGGGGAGUACGGUCGCAAGACUGAAACUCAAAUGAAUUGACGGGG
RNAcentral lists this ribosomal RNA (587 nucleotides) under uncultured Stenotrophomonas sp. RNAcentral's name for it is "bacterial SSU rRNA". It matches the Rfam family "Bacterial small subunit ribosomal RNA", at positions 338 to 918 of the family's 1533-position model. Lineage: Bacteria; Pseudomonadati; Pseudomonadota; Gammaproteobacteria; Lysobacterales; Lysobacteraceae. The record is from RNAcentral.